GCAAGUCGAGCGGUAACAGAUCUAGCUUGCUAGAUGCUGACGAGCGGCGGACGGGUGAGUAACGCGUGGGAAUAUACCUAGUAGUGGGGGAUAGCCCGGGGAAACUCGGAUUAAUACCGCAUAAUCUCUUCGGAGGAAAGCAGGGGAUCUUCGGACCUUGUGCUGCUAGAUUAGCCCGCGUCAGAUUAGCUAGUUGGUAGGGUAAAGGCCUACCAAGGCGACGAUCUGUAGCUGGCCUGAGAGGGUGGUC
Molecule: ribosomal RNA, 250 nt
Filed under: uncultured bacterium
Lineage: Bacteria
Description: partial 16S ribosomal RNA
Rfam family: Bacterial small subunit ribosomal RNA
Source: RNAcentral